This 392-nucleotide ribosomal RNA is filed under the name uncultured bacterium. Its description in RNAcentral is "bacterial SSU rRNA". It matches the Rfam family "Bacterial small subunit ribosomal RNA", at positions 355 to 763 of the family's 1533-position model. The record is from RNAcentral.
UAGGGAAUAUUGCAAAAUGGGCGAAAGCCCGAUGCAGCAACGCCGCGUGGGCGAUGAAGGCCUUCGGGUCGUAAAGCCCUUUUUGAGGGGAUGAGGAAGGACAGUACCCUCAGAAUAAGCCUCGGCUAACUACGUGCCAGCAGCCGCGGUAAAACGUAGGAGGCGAGCGUUAUCCGGAUUUACUGGGCGUAAAGCGCGUGCAGGCGGAUUGGAGAGUUGGAUGUGAAAGCUCCCGGCUUAACUGGGAGAGGUCGUUCAAUACUUCCAGUCUUGAGUGCAGUAGAGGGAAGUGGAAUUCCGGGUGUAGUGGUGAAAUGCGUAGAUAUCCGGAGGAACACCAGUGGCGAAAGCGGCUUCCUGGACUGUAACUGACGCUCAGACGCGAAAGCUAG